AACGAACGCUGGCGGCAUGCCUAACACAUGCAAGUCGAACGAACCUUUCGGGGUUAGUGGCGCACGGGUGCGUAACGCGUGGGAAUCUGCCCUUUGGUACGGAAUAACUCAGGGAAACUUGUGCUAAUACCGUAUGAUGUCUUCGGACCAAAGAUUUAUCGCCAAAGGAUGAGCCCGCGUUGGAUUAGCUAGUUGGUGGGGUAAAGGCCUACCAAGGCGACGAUCCAUAGCUGGUCUGAGAGGAUGAUCAGCCACACUGGGACUGAGACACGGCCCAGACUCCUACGGGAGGCAGCAGUGGGGAAUAUUGGACAAUGGGCGCAAGCCUGAUCCAGCAAUGCCGCGUGAGCGAUGAAGGCCUUAGGGUUGUAAAGCUCUUUUACCCGGGAAGAUAAUGACUGUACCGGGAGAAUAAGCCCCGGCUAACUCCGUGC
RNAcentral lists this ribosomal RNA (434 nucleotides) under uncultured bacterium. RNAcentral describes it as "bacterial SSU rRNA". It matches the Rfam family "Bacterial small subunit ribosomal RNA", at positions 29 to 508 of the family's 1533-position model. The record is from RNAcentral.